GAUCUCAUAGCUCAACAGGAUAGAGCUUCGGUUUCCUAAACCGCAGAUCCCCGUUCGAGUCGGGGUGAGAUCACCA
RNAcentral lists this transfer RNA (76 nucleotides) under Bdellovibrio sp. RNAcentral describes it as "tRNA-Arg". It matches the Rfam family "tRNA". From Rfam's summary of the family: Transfer RNA (tRNA) molecules are approximately 80 nucleotides in length. Their secondary structure includes four short double-helical elements and three loops (D, anti-codon, and T loops). Further hydrogen bonds mediate the characteristic L-shaped molecular structure. tRNAs have two regions of fundamental functional importance: the anti-codon, which is responsible for specific mRNA codon recognition, and the 3' end, to which the tRNAs corresponding amino acid is attached (by aminoacyl-tRNA synthetases). tRNAs cope with the degeneracy of the genetic code in two manners: having more than one tRNA (with a specific anti-codon) for a particular amino acid; and 'wobble' base-pairing, i.e. permitting non-standard base-pairing at the 3rd anti-codon position. Lineage: Bacteria; Pseudomonadati; Bdellovibrionota; Bdellovibrionia; Bdellovibrionales; Pseudobdellovibrionaceae. The record is from RNAcentral.